AAAGAUUUUAAAAUAAAGAAGCUGCUAACUAUCUUUAAAAGCAUUAUUAAUGUUUAAUCUUUU
Molecule: transfer RNA, 63 nt
Filed under: Pseudoregma panicola
Lineage: Eukaryota; Metazoa; Arthropoda; Insecta; Hemiptera; Hormaphididae
Description: tRNA-Ser
Source: RNAcentral